Regulatory RNA element from Spiroplasma sabaudiense Ar-1343, 122 nucleotides. It matches the Rfam family "Ribosomal protein L10 leader". Rfam says of the family: This family is a putative r-protein leader autoregulatory structure found in B. subtilis and other low-GC Gram-positive bacteria. The record is from Rfam. NCBI's taxonomy places the organism in Bacteria, Bacillati, Mycoplasmatota, Mollicutes, Entomoplasmatales, Spiroplasmataceae.
AUAUUAUUGCUAUUCGUACCAAAGAAAGCAACUGGGGAAACCCUUAAUUUGUUGCCGAGGAAUGAAAACAUAAAUUGUUUUUUAUUUUGCCUCGGUUCUUGCCGAGGUUUUCUUUUGCAAAA